CCGAUUAUUUUUAGAUCGGAUGGAGGGAGAAGCCCUACAGUGCCCAUAUGCGCCCCCACAGCCAUGUUAGGAACAGGAGGAGAACCUCGCCCUAACAUGAGCAAGGUCGAAGGUCUGAUUAUUUUUAGACCGGAUGGGGGGAGAGGCCCUACAGUGUCCAUAUGCGCCCCCACAGCCAUGUUAGGGACAGGAGGAGAAUCUCGUCCUAACAUGAGCAAGGUCGAAGGUCCGAUUAUUUUU
RNAcentral lists this long non-coding RNA (240 nucleotides) under Elaeis guineensis (African oil palm). RNAcentral describes it as "long non-coding RNA (EGUI_LNC004096)". The record is from RNAcentral. Lineage: Eukaryota; Viridiplantae; Streptophyta; Magnoliopsida; Arecales; Arecaceae.